Molecule: non-coding RNA, 28 nt
Filed under: Vibrio palustris
Lineage: Bacteria; Pseudomonadati; Pseudomonadota; Gammaproteobacteria; Vibrionales; Vibrionaceae
Source: RNAcentral
GUUCACUGCCGCACAGGUGGCUUAGAAA